Molecule: ribosomal RNA, 467 nt
Filed under: uncultured bacterium
Lineage: Bacteria
Description: partial 16S ribosomal RNA
Rfam family: Bacterial small subunit ribosomal RNA
Source: RNAcentral
ACGAACGCUGGCGGCGUGCUUAACACAUGCAAGUCGAACGGAAAGGCCCUGCUUUUGUGGGGUGCUCGAGUGGCGAACGGGUGAGUAACACGUGAGUAACCUGCCCUUGACUUUGGGAUAACUUCAUGAAACUGGGGCUAAUACCGGAUAGGAGCUCCUGCUGCAUGGUGGGGUUUGGAAAGUUUCGGCGGUUGGGGAUGGACUCGCGGCUUAUCAGCUUGUUGGUGGGGUAGUGGCUUACCAAGGCUUUGACGGGUAGCCGGCCUGGGAGGGUGACCGGCCACAUUGGGACUGAGAUACGGCCCAGACUCCUACGGGAGGCAGCAGUGGGGAAUAUUGCACAAUGGGCGGAAGCCUGAUGCAGCAACGCCGCGUGCGGGAUGACGGCCUUCGGGUUGUAAACCGCUUUCGCCUGUGACGAAGCGUGAGUGACGGUAAUGGGUAAAGAAGCACCGGCUAACUACGUG